RNAcentral lists this ribosomal RNA (253 nucleotides) under uncultured bacterium. RNAcentral's name for it is "partial 16S ribosomal RNA". It matches the Rfam family "Bacterial small subunit ribosomal RNA", at positions 524 to 776 of the family's 1533-position model. The record is from RNAcentral.
UACGAAGGGGGCUAGCGUUGUUCGGAAUUACUGGGCGUAAAGCGUGCGCAGGCGGCCAUCCAAGUCAGUGGUGAAAGCCCGGAGCUCAACUCCGGAAUUGCCAUUGAAACUGUUUGGCCCGAGUACGAGAGAGGUGAGUGGAAUUCCCAGUGUAGAGGUGAAAUUCGUAGAUAUUGGGAAGAACACCGGUGGCGAAGGCGGCUCACUGGCUCGUAACUGACGCUCAUGCACGACAGCGUGGGGAUCAAACAGG